CAAUAGCGUAUAUUUAAGUUGUUGCAGUUAAAAAGCUCGUAGUUGGAUUUCUGGUGGGAGCGAUCGGUCUGGCGCUUAGCGCGAGUACUUGCAUCGUCUCCGGCCAUCCUUGGGGAGAGUCUGUCUGGCAUUAGGUUGUCGGGCAGAGGAUCCUCAUCGUUUACUGUGAAAAAAUUAGAGUGUUCAAAGCAGGCUUAUGCCGUUGAAUAUAUUAGCAUGGAAUAAUAAGAUAGGACUUUGGUACUAUUUUGUUGGUUUGCGCACCAAAGUAAUGAUUAAUAGGGACAGUUGGGGGUAUUCGUAUUCCGUUGUCAGAGGUGAAAUUCUUGGAUUUACGGAAGACGAACUACUGCGAAAGCAUUUACCAAGGAUGUUUNCAUUAA
Molecule: ribosomal RNA, 383 nt
Filed under: uncultured eukaryote
Lineage: Eukaryota
Description: partial 18S ribosomal RNA
Rfam family: Eukaryotic small subunit ribosomal RNA
Source: RNAcentral